Non-coding RNA from Rhamnusium bicolor, 75 nucleotides. The record is from the annotation of a GenBank genome assembly. NCBI's taxonomy places the organism in Eukaryota, Metazoa, Arthropoda, Insecta, Coleoptera, Cerambycidae.
GGCUUUAUGGUCGAAUGGUAAGGACACUUGUCUGUCACCUUGGAGUCCCGGAUUCAAUCCCCGGUCAAGAAGCUA